CUAAAAAAGUUUGUUUUGCUUAUUAAUAAAGACAAUUAAAUGGCCGCGGUAACACUAACUGUGAAAAUGUAGCGUAAUCAAUUGUUAAUUAAUUGUUGACCGGUAUGAAUGGUGUCACGAAAGUUUCUCUGUCUUAAAAAAAUACUUAAUGAAAUUGAAUUUGUAGUGAAGAUGCUACAUUAAAAUUGUAAGACGAGAAGUCCCCAUGGAACUUUACUGAGGGCUUAGGGUUUUCUAUAAGCGGGACAGUUUUGUUGGGGCGACAGUUUUUUAAAAAGUAACAAAAACGAACUAUGGCGUAGCUUCACCCUGAAAAACUUUUUAAGGGACAUUUUUGGUGUGUUUUAUGAACCGUUGUUUGGAAUGAAAAAAAUAACGAAAAACAAAUAAAAGUUACCCUGGGGAUAACAGCGCAAUAACGUUUGAGAG
This 429-nucleotide ribosomal RNA is filed under the name Echinophyllia aspera. Its description in RNAcentral is "partial large subunit ribosomal RNA". It matches the Rfam family "Bacterial large subunit ribosomal RNA", at positions 1877 to 2498 of the family's 2925-position model. Lineage: Eukaryota; Metazoa; Cnidaria; Anthozoa; Scleractinia; Lobophylliidae. The record is from RNAcentral.